CCUACGGGGGGCAGCAGUGAGGAAUAUUGGUCAAUGGACGAGAGUCUGAACCAGCCAAGUAGCGUGAAGGAUGACUGCCCUAUGGGUUGUAAACUUCUUUUAUAUGGGAAUAAAAUGUUCCACGUGUGGGAUUUUGUAUGUACCAUAUGAAUAAGGAUCGGCUAACUCCGUGCCAGCAGCCGCGGUAAUACGGAGGAUCCGAGCGUUAUCCGGAUUUAUUGGGUUUAAAGGGAGCGUAGGUGGAUUGUUAAGUCAGUUGUGAAAGUUUGCGGCUCAACCGUAAAAUUGCAGUUGAAACUGGCAGUCUUGAGUACAGUAGAGGUGGGCGGAAUUCGUGGUGUAGCGGUGAAAUGCUUAGAUAUCACGAAGAACUCCGAUUGCGAAGGCAGCUCACUGGACUGCAACUGACGCUGAGGAGCGAAAGCGUGGGUAGCAAACAGGAUUAGAUACCCCUGUAGUC
This 460-nucleotide ribosomal RNA is filed under the name uncultured bacterium. Its description in RNAcentral is "partial 16S ribosomal RNA". It matches the Rfam family "Bacterial small subunit ribosomal RNA", at positions 338 to 795 of the family's 1533-position model. The record is from RNAcentral.